GACGAACGCUGGCGGCGUGCUUAACACAUGCAAGUCGAACGAGAAUCUGUGGAUCGAGGAUUGUCCAAGUGAAGCAGAGGACAGUGGCGGACGGGUGAGUAACGCGUGGGUAACCUGCCUCAUACAGGGGGAUAACAGUUGGAAACGACUGCUAAUACCGCAUAAGCGCACAGGAUUGCAUGAUCCAGUGUGAAAAACUCCGGUGGUAUGAGAUGGACCCGCGUCUGAUUAGCCAGUUGGCGGGGUUAAACGGCCCACCAAAGCGACGAUCGGUAGCCGGACUGAGAGGUUGAACGGCCACAUUGGGACUGAGACACGGCCCAGACUCCUACGGGAGGCAGCAGUGGGGAAUAUUGCACAAUGGGGGAAACCCUGAUGCAGCGACGCCGCGUGGAGGAAGAAGGUCUUCGGAUUGUAAACUCCUGUUGUUGAGGAAGAUAAUGACGGUACUCAACAAGGAAGUGACGGCUAACUACGUG
RNAcentral lists this ribosomal RNA (479 nucleotides) under uncultured bacterium. RNAcentral's name for it is "bacterial SSU rRNA". It matches the Rfam family "Bacterial small subunit ribosomal RNA", at positions 28 to 507 of the family's 1533-position model. The record is from RNAcentral.